UACGUAGGGUGCGAGCGUUGUUCGGAAUUACUGGGCGUAAAGCGCACGUAGGCGGCUUUGUAAGUUAGAGGUGAAAGCCCGGAGCUCAACUUCGGAAUUGCCUUUAAGACUGCAUCGCUUGAAUCAUGGAGAGGUCAGUGGAAUUCCGAGUGUAGAGGUGAAAUUCGUAGAUAUUCGGAAGAACACCAGUGGCGAAGGCGACUCGCUGGACAAGUAUUGACGCUGAGGUGCGAAAGCGUGGGGAGCAAACAGG
This 253-nucleotide ribosomal RNA is filed under the name uncultured bacterium. RNAcentral describes it as "partial 16S ribosomal RNA". It matches the Rfam family "Bacterial small subunit ribosomal RNA", at positions 524 to 776 of the family's 1533-position model. The record is from RNAcentral.